Non-coding RNA from Microcebus murinus (gray mouse lemur), 795 nucleotides. The record is from RefSeq and is a predicted model, not a curated record. NCBI's taxonomy places the organism in Eukaryota, Metazoa, Chordata, Mammalia, Primates, Cheirogaleidae.
UGUGUCUUUGGGCUGGCGGCAUACCAGGGCAGGGAGGAGGACGGUUCGCGGCAGUAUAUCUUGGCACUGACAACAGGAACUGAUUUGGCUUGACUGUAGAGGGAGGUCCUGCGACACUUCUACAACCUCUGUCUGAGAACACGAGUACGUGAUCACUCCCUUACCCAGCCAUGGCCACCUGGUUCUGUUUUAACGUCGAGCACCUCAGUUAGCCAUUUGCUCUGUCAGCUGGGGUAAUACUUUAACGACCACAGUCAAGAUAAUAGACAUAUCUAAAACCUCCCAAAGUUUCCUGGUGUCCCUCUAUUUGUUCUAUGUUUUCCUAGAAGCAGACCAUCACAUGAGGAUUCAUGUGCAAGUGAUUUGUUAAGAAAGUCCUCCUGGGGGAAACCAGUAAGAGAAUGUGGAAAGCAGGACAGAAAAGAGAAGCCAGCCAAGCAAGAAUGAAUAUCAUGCUAACUUCAUCCUGUGUCCAUAGGGGAAUUCUGGAAUAAUUGUGCAAAAUAGAGUUUAUCAGAAUUCCUGUGUUUGUAGGGCCCAUACGCUAAAAUAAUGAGUGUUCUAUGCAAGAAGAUACCUGUUUUAUGCAUCCUGGUGUAUUAUAAGAUUCUUGCCCUUUUCAGAAGCAUCUACAGUGUCUCACAGAGACUUGCAGUUGUUACAGCAAGACUACAAAGAGAACUAAGAAUUAUAGGGGUCCAGUGGCUACUAUGGCAUAAAAAUUAUUUUAAACUGAAGGCAUUUGAAUUCUUGAAAUCCCUUACCUUCCCCAAAACAAAGAUUCUCCAAAGAACU